UGGGGAAUUAGUGAGCAAAUGGGCGCAAGCCUGAUCCAGCCAUGCCGCGUGUGUGAAGAAGGCCUUCGGGUUGUAAAGCACUUUUUGUCCGGAAAGAAAUCCUUGGCUCUAAUACAGUCGGGGGAUGACGGUACCGGAAGAAUAAGCACCGGCUAACUACGUGCCAGCAGCCGCGGUAAUACGUAGGGUGCAAGCGUUAAUCGGAAUUACUGGGCGUAAAGCGUGCGCAGGCGGUUUGCUAAGACCGAUGUGAAAUCCCCGGGCUCAACCUGGGAACUGCAUUGGUGACUGGCAGGCUAGAGUAUGGCAGAGGGGGGUAGAAUUCCACGUGUAGCAGUGAAAUGCGUAGAGAUGUGGAGGAAUACCGAUGGCGAAGGCAGCCCCCUGGGCCAAUACUGACGCUCAUGCACGAAAGCGUGGGGAGCAAACAGGAUUAGAUACCCUGGUAGUCCACGCCCUAAACGAUGUCAACUAGUUGUUGGGGAUUCAUUUCCUUAGUAACGUAGCUAACGCGUGAAGUUGACCGCCUGGGGAGUACGGUCGCAAGAUUAAAACUUCAAAUGAAUUGACGGGGUCAUAGCUGUUUCCU
This 589-nucleotide ribosomal RNA is filed under the name uncultured bacterium. RNAcentral's name for it is "partial 16S ribosomal RNA". It matches the Rfam family "Bacterial small subunit ribosomal RNA", at positions 355 to 1375 of the family's 1533-position model. The record is from RNAcentral.